Long non-coding RNA from Rhinolophus ferrumequinum (greater horseshoe bat), 330 nucleotides. RefSeq lists it as uncharacterized. The record is from RefSeq and is a predicted model, not a curated record. NCBI's taxonomy places the organism in Eukaryota, Metazoa, Chordata, Mammalia, Chiroptera, Rhinolophidae. The transcript has 3 exons.
GCUUCAUCUGCGUCUGCAUCUUCGCGGCGUCCGAGUCAUGAACUAGAAGCUGUUAGAGCUGGUUGGCACUGAUGCCUGAGUCUGCAUCAUGUCCACAAAGAGCCCCCAUGUUUCUUGAGAACGUUCCCUGGCUUUCUCUCUUGUCUACACCCAGACACACUCAGCGAGGCUUGUGCAAUGAAACUGACAAAUGGUGUACACCGUAGUUAUUCAACAUACAUGUUCAGCUCACCGAAGAAAUGAUGACCAUGAUAAGUCCAGCAACCAUCCGACACCGUACCACGCUGUCACAAUAUUAUUGACUGUCUUCCCUGUGCUGUACGUUACAUC